RNAcentral lists this transfer-messenger RNA (134 nucleotides) under Gammaproteobacteria bacterium. RNAcentral describes it as "partial transfer-messenger RNA". It matches the Rfam family "transfer-messenger RNA", at positions 236 to 374 of the family's 374-position model. From Rfam's summary of the family: Bacterial tmRNA, also known as 10Sa RNA or SsrA, is named for its dual tRNA and mRNA-like properties. Its role is to liberate the mRNA from a stalled ribosome. To accomplish this part of the tmRNA is used as a reading frame that ends in a translation stop signal. Lineage: Bacteria; Pseudomonadati; Pseudomonadota; Gammaproteobacteria. The record is from RNAcentral.
AACCCUUAGCGAACUCGCUGCAGGUCUUCCCUGCCCGGUGGGUAGCCUGCAGUCAAAUCAAAGACCGGGAUAAGCAUGUAGAUCCGAUGGCGGAGGACUGGCGGACGGGGGUUCGAUUCCCCCCGUCUCCACCA